CCCUUAGAUGUUCUGGGCCGCACGCGUGCUACACUGAGUGGAUCAGCGGGUCAGGUUGCGCGAAAGCGUUUCCUAAUCUUUAAAUCCGCUCGUGAUGGGGAUUGACGGUUGCAAUUUUCUGUCAUGAACGAGGAAUACCUUGUAAGCGCGGGUCAUCAUCCCGCGCUGAAUACGUCCCUGCCCUUUGUACACACCGCCCGUCGCUCCUACCGAUUGAGUGGUCCGGUGUGGCUUUGGGAUCUGAGCGGAAAGAGCGUUUCGCUGUUUCUGCUCGGAAAACUCAGUCGAACCUUAUCAUUUAGAGGAAGGAGAAGUCGUAACA
This 322-nucleotide ribosomal RNA is filed under the name uncultured eukaryote. RNAcentral's name for it is "partial 18S ribosomal RNA". It matches the Rfam family "Eukaryotic small subunit ribosomal RNA", at positions 1470 to 1796 of the family's 1831-position model. The record is from RNAcentral.